CCUACGGGAGGCAGCAGUGAGGAAUAUUGGUCAAUGGACGCAAGUCUGAACCAGCCAUGCCGCGUGCAGGAAGACGGCUCUAUGAGUUGUAAACUGCUUUUGUACGAGGGUAAACGCAGAUACGUGUAUCUGUCUGAAAGUAUCGUACGAAUAAGGAUCGGCUAACUCCGUGCCAGCAGCCGCGGUAAUACGUAGGGAGCAAGCGUUAUCCGGAUUUAUUGGGUGUAAAGGGUGCGUAGACGGAGAAGCAAGUUAGUUGUGAAAUCCCUCGGCUUAACUGAGGAACUGCAACUAAAACUACUUCC
Molecule: ribosomal RNA, 305 nt
Filed under: uncultured bacterium
Lineage: Bacteria
Description: bacterial SSU rRNA
Rfam family: Bacterial small subunit ribosomal RNA
Source: RNAcentral